GCGGGGCUGCGCGGUGCGUCAGGUCCCCUAUGUCCCCGGGGCCGAUAGCUUCCUUAAGGGAGCUGCCUCUGGCGAGGCCGUGGCCUCGUUACGCGGCGCCCACCUGCAGUCGCAGGUCCCAGGAGGCACCACGGGUCCAACGGCCGAGGCGGCUCCGCA
Molecule: non-coding RNA, 159 nt
Filed under: Rhodospirillaceae bacterium
Lineage: Bacteria; Pseudomonadati; Pseudomonadota; Alphaproteobacteria; Rhodospirillales; Rhodospirillaceae
Description: 6S RNA
Rfam family: 6S / SsrS RNA
About the family: E. coli 6S RNA was the first non coding RNA to be sequenced, but its function was unknown until recently.
Source: RNAcentral